This 301-nucleotide ribosomal RNA is filed under the name uncultured bacterium. RNAcentral describes it as "partial 16S ribosomal RNA". It matches the Rfam family "Bacterial small subunit ribosomal RNA", at positions 509 to 807 of the family's 1533-position model. The record is from RNAcentral.
CAGUAGCCGCGGGAAAACGAAGGGGGCUAGCGUUGCUCGGAAUCACUGGGCGUAAAGGGUGCGUAGGCGGGUCUUUAAGUCAGGGGAGGAACCCUGGAGCUCAACUCCAGAACUGCCUUUGAUACUGAAGAUCUUGAGUUCGGGAGAGGUGAGUGGAACUGCGAGUGUAGAGGUGAAAUUCGUAGAUAUUCGCAAGAACACCAGUGGCGAAGGCGGCUCACUGGCCCGAUACUGACGCUGAGGCACGAAAGCGUGGGGAGCAAACAGGAUUAGAUACCCCUGUAGUCCCUGUCUCUUAUAC